CCGCGGCCCCCGCCUCCCAGCACCGGCUGAGUUCCCCCGGCCGCUCCGGGAGGUGGCAGCUUGCGCGCGCCAAGUGCUGCGGCAGGAAAGGAGGCUCCGGAGCACACCCGCCGCCUUUGCCCGCUGGGCGACGCUGCUCAGAGUGAGCGAUCGCCUGGGGUUCCAGGCGGGGACGCCUUUCUGCCAUCUCGAAUUUACGAUGAUUAAACACCUGCAAGCUGCCACUGUUCUUCAGAUAUCUUGGAUCACUCCGAGCACGCAUUUCGGUUAUGAAAGCAAAAAGGAAAAGGAGCAACCCAAAGCCUAAAGGAAACUAUUUUCGGCCGGGCAUGGUGGCUCAUCCCAGCACUUUGGGAGUUCGAGGAUUCCCUCCAAGAUAUUACGUUAAUUACAAUCAAGCAAGAUAUUCAAAAGUUGCGGCCGGUGGAUGCAACCCAGAUGCCUAUCUACAGAUGAAUGGGUAAAGAAAGUGCAGUCUACAAUGGAAUAUUAUUCAGCCUUAAAAAUGAAGGAAAUCUCGUCACAUGCUACAACACGGAUGAAUCCUGAGGACUUUUGUUAAAUGAGAUAAGCUAGUCACAAAAAGAAAGAUACUGUACAAUUCCACUUACAUGAUGUAUCUAGAGUACUCAAAUGUGCAGAAACAAAAAGUAGAAUGGUUGUUGCCAGGGGCUGGGGGAGGAGAACAGGGAGUUGUUGUUUAAUGGGUACAGAGUUUUAGUUUCGCAAGAUGAAAAAGUUCUGGAGCUUUGUUUCACAACAAUGUGAAAUAUUCUUAACCUUACUGAGCUGUACAACAAGAAAUGGUUAAGAUGGUAAUGUUUGUUUCUACCAGAAUAAAAAAUAAUUGCCUCUAUACGUUUUAAACUUGUAUUUAUUUUGAAAUAAUUCAGACAUGCAGAAAGUUGCAAGAACAGUACAAAGAGUUCUUUGUAUAGAGGUUGUUUUCUAUUCCCUUCAUCCAAAUUCCCCAACGGUUAACAUUGU
This 987-nucleotide long non-coding RNA is filed under the name Rhinopithecus bieti (black snub-nosed monkey). RNAcentral describes it as "lncRNA (ENSRBIG00000046129.1)". The record is from RNAcentral. Lineage: Eukaryota; Metazoa; Chordata; Mammalia; Primates; Cercopithecidae.